This 510-nucleotide long non-coding RNA is filed under the name Rattus norvegicus (Norway rat). RNAcentral's name for it is "long non-coding RNA NONRATT001329". Lineage: Eukaryota; Metazoa; Chordata; Mammalia; Rodentia; Muridae. The record is from RNAcentral.
CAACAGAGCCAAUGACCACAUUCAAAACCAUGAGACCAAAAUAAUCUUUCCUCCCAUAAGUCAUAUAUGUCAGGUAUUAGGUCAGAGUGGUGAGAAAGCUAACCCAACCUAAGUGUGCAGCAUUUGUCACCACAGCUGAGUAAGUCUGUACUUCUCCAAUGAAAAAGGUUUCCUUGCUUCUUAGCCAGGCCACCACUGGAGAGCAGCAGCCAUGGCCCUGCACUACCCCAUGGCCGUGGGCCUCAACAAGAGCCACAAGGUGAGGAAGAGUGUCAGCAAGUCGAGACACAGCUGGCGCCUCACCAAGCACACCAAGUUUGUGUGGGACAUGAUCUUGGAGGUGCGUGGCUUCGCACCCUACAAGUGGCUUCAAGUGGAGUUGCUUCAAGUGUCCAAAGACAAGAGCGCACUCAAGUUCAGCAAGAAGUGGGGAGGCAUGCAAGUCCAUGCCAAGAGAAAGCAAGAGAAGCUGAGCAACGUGUUGGCAGCCAUGAGGAAGGCGGUAGCCAA